This 440-nucleotide ribosomal RNA is filed under the name uncultured bacterium. Its description in RNAcentral is "partial 16S ribosomal RNA". It matches the Rfam family "Bacterial small subunit ribosomal RNA", at positions 338 to 795 of the family's 1533-position model. The record is from RNAcentral.
CCUACGGGAGGCAGCAGUGGGGAAUAUUGCACAAUGGGGGAAACCCUGAUGCAGCGACGCCGCGUGAGUGAAGAAGUAUUUCGGUAUGUAAAGCUCUAUCAGCAGGGAAGAAAAUGACGGUACCUGACUAAGAAGCCCCGGCUAACUACGUGCCAGCAGCCGCGGUAAUACGUAGGGGGCAAGCGUUAUCCGGAUUUACUGGGUGUAAAGGGAGCGUAGACGGUGAUGCAAGUCAGAAGUGAAAGGGCGGGGCUCAACUCCGGGACUGCUUUUGAAACUGUGUGACUGGAGUGCAGGAGAGGUAAGCGGAAUUCCUGGUGUAGCGGUGAAAUGCGUAGAUAUCAGGAAGAACACCAGUGGCGAAGGCGGCUUACUAGACUGUAACUGACGUUGAGGCUCGAAAGCGUGGGGAGCAAACAGGAUUAGAUACCCGAGUAGUC